GAAUUAGGGUUUUCUCUUUUUGGUGUUCAAAUUUCUGAAAUUGAAAGAAUAACAAAAAUUGUCAAAGGAUUGAAAAAAGAACCAAAGAGAAAUUGAUGAACAAUGAUUAUUACUUACCAGAAAAUCAGAGUUUAAGAGAAAGAAGAAGCCAUGAAGCUUUUUCCGUGGUGUUUUGAAUGAAGAAAGUACUUUUCUUGGAAGAGAAAACCUUUUUUAUUUUAUUUUUAAGAAGGGGGAUAUAUCAUAUAUAUUCCUCCUUUGGUGUGGUUAAGUUAAGCUUCCAUGUUGCCUGUCUGUUAAAGGCUUUCUGUUUUUUUAUUUUAUAUAAAUUUUAUAAUUAUGUAAAGUUUGAAUGCAAAAAUAAUAUCACAAAAGGCUAGGCAGUAGAACGACAUCAAGGAGCAUCGAACUAAGGCCCUUUUGCCAAAGAGAGAUACGCUCCAUCGAACUCCCCUAAACACGCUGUUGUGAAAAUAUCCAAACGCUAUACUAUAUAUACGAGUCAUAUGAUAUUAAAAUAUAUAUAUAUAUAUAAUAUAAAUAAUUUUUUUUUCGGGGGCCCUUAAGAAUCGGAGGCCCUGUGCGGUGGCGCCACUUGCACCACCCCAGGGCCGCCCCUGAUGAUUCAUUUGCAUGACUAUCAGUCAACGAGGCUAAGUGGAGAUGUUAGCAUUUUGGGGCCAUCAAUUUAAACUAUUAUGAAAUUCUCGUACAAAGUUUAGCUGGACUGGGAAGGGUAAUGUUUGAGGUAAAUGUGUUCUUUGACGGUCUGCGUGACAAUUUUUCCUCAUUUGCGUUAUGGUUAGGUAAAAAUUAUAGGAAAAUGGUUAAGUAAAUGCCUAGAAAAACUCACAUUAUUAAUUAUUUUUUAUAUAUGACACCUCCUUUUAUUAAUAACAAUAAUGCUAGAUUCACUAAAUUCAUUCACUAAAUUUGUUCACUAACAUGAUUAUUUGUUGUUAAUAAGUAUGAUCUAAAAGUGACCCAAAUUUGAACCAAUUCAACAUUGGUGUCCCUAAGCACUUCUCUAUUGAUAACUUAGGUGGUGGAACCUCAUUUGCCUUAACUACUUAACCAACUAUUCUUGAGUGUGACGUUAAUUCACGUGUCCUUAUAUGAAUGAACAAUCAUUUAUAUUUAACAGGUAAAGUAUUAAUAAAUAAAAUACUUUAUUAUAACAUGAGUGAAUUGUAAUAACAGAUGUCAUAGUAUGAUCGCACCUACAUUAUCAGACCUGUUGAUGCAGUCCUUACUAUCGUAUGAUAAAUAGAUGCUUGAAAACUUGAUCUUUUUUGUUAGUUGCAAAAGAAGCCCUUGACAUUAUUGGGGAAUAUGAAUAUACGAAGCCAAUUAUGUAAGAGAUAUCUUCCAUGAAGCCCUCCUAGCCCAUGUCACAUUGGUUUGAUGCCGGAGAGCAAACUACAGUGGAAAGAAACCUCCAUGAGAAAAUUUGCAACAUCAACUCUUUUUACCACUAACCCAAUAAUUCCAUUAUUUUCCUCAUACAUAUUAGUUUGUGCCGUGAACUCAGCCAUGAAUGCAUUCUCCUCUAUCCACAUCUUUGCUGCUAAAAAGUAAUUAUCAAAUAUGAGAUAGAAUUCAACAAACAGAUUAGUAGUGGUAAUCAAAAUAAAUGACAUUUUAGUUUCCUCCACGAUCUCAAUUUAGAUUGUAAUUAUUUUUCUAAAAUACCAAUUAUCGUAUAUUUUGUACUCGUU
RNAcentral lists this long non-coding RNA (1718 nucleotides) under Prunus persica (peach). RNAcentral's name for it is "long non-coding RNA (PPER_LNC004092)". The record is from RNAcentral. Lineage: Eukaryota; Viridiplantae; Streptophyta; Magnoliopsida; Rosales; Rosaceae.